RNAcentral lists this ribosomal RNA (439 nucleotides) under uncultured bacterium. RNAcentral describes it as "partial 16S ribosomal RNA". It matches the Rfam family "Bacterial small subunit ribosomal RNA", at positions 338 to 795 of the family's 1533-position model. The record is from RNAcentral.
CCUACGGGUGGCUGCAGUGGGGAAUAUUGCACAAUGGGCGAAAGCCUGAUGCAGCAAUGCCGCGUGAGCGAUGAAGGCCUUCGGGUCGUAAAGCUCUGUCCUCAAGGAAGAUAAUGACGGUACUUGCGGAGGAAGCCCCGGCUAACUACGUGCCAGCAGCCGCGGUAAUACGUAGGGGGCUAGCGUUAUCCGGAAUUACUGGGCGUAAAGGGUGGGUAGGGGGUUUCUUAGGUCAGGGGUGAAAGGCAAGGGCUCAACCGCAGUAAGCCUUUGAUACUGUGAAACUUGAGUGCAGGAGAGGAGAGUGGAAUUCCUAGUGUAGAGGUGAAAUGCGUAGAUAUUAGGAGGAACACCAGUGGCGAAGGCGGCUCUCUGGACUGUAACUGACACUGAGGCACGAAAGCGUGGGGAGCAAACAGGAUUAGAUACCCUAGUAGUC